Molecule: ribosomal RNA, 440 nt
Filed under: uncultured bacterium
Lineage: Bacteria
Description: partial 16S ribosomal RNA
Rfam family: Bacterial small subunit ribosomal RNA
Source: RNAcentral
CCUACGGGGGGCAGCAGUAGGGAAUAUUGCACAAUGGGGGAAACCCUGAUGCAGCAACGCCGCGUGAGUGAAGAAGGUUUUCGGAUUGUAAAGCCCUUUUAGUAGGGAAGAGAAUGACGGUAACUGACAAAGAAGCACCGGCUAACUCCGGGCCAGCAGCCGCGGGAAUACGGAGGGGGCAAGCGUUAGUCGGAAUUACUGGGCGUAAAGAGUGCGGAGGCGGGAUAGCAAGUCUGGUGUGAAAUCCAAUGGCUUAACCAUGGAACUGCAUAUGAAACUGUUAUACUAGAGUUCGGGAGAGGUAAGUGGAAUUCUUGGUGUAGCGGUGAAAUGCGUAGAGAUUAGGAGGAACACCCGUGGCGAAGGCGACUUACUGGACCGUAACUGACGCUGAGGCACGAAAGCGUGGGGAGCAAACAGGAUUAGAUACCCGAGUAGUC